This is a long non-coding RNA of Dermacentor silvarum, 1487 nucleotides long. RefSeq lists it as uncharacterized. Lineage: Eukaryota; Metazoa; Arthropoda; Arachnida; Ixodida; Ixodidae. The transcript has 3 exons. The record is from RefSeq and is a predicted model, not a curated record.
AUUUCUACUGGUUCUACGAGCAGUCCGCAGUUCCGAUCAUGACAGACAAAGACUUGGACAAGCUAUGCCAUUGCUUACAUGAGGUGCCGGAAGAGGAACUGGCAAAGCUGGACGUCGCCUGUAUACUUCCAAGUGUGCGGGUCACAGGCGUUCCACGGCACCUAGCCGUUGAGGCAAUCCGCGGCAACUUGAAAGCCGUCAGAUCAUUGCAUGAGCGGCUUAGACUGAUCACAUGGCUCUAUUGCUGGCUUAUACCGCACGACAGACUAAAAGGGUGGCAGCUUUAUCGCCUCAACAGCAGACUGAAACAGUUUGUCGACGAUUUCAAGCUACACUCUAUGAUAGCGCGAGAGUUCUGCUAUCGAGGUAGGAUAAACACGUACGUGCCCUUGGCAUGCACACAUGGCCGCUACGCAUGUGCUGUGACCGGUGACCUGGAGGACGAGCCUGAAGUGCACAGUCUUAUAUGUUUGUGUGCUUGGUUGGAAAUGCCCUACUUGGCCGUUCGUGCAGCCGAUGUGAUUGAUAUGAGAAAGCUGAUGCUCACUCUAAACAAUGUGUUAGGAGGCAGCCUCGAUGAGCACCUGGUUGGCGGUUACGAGACGUUGAGCAGCGGCUUCGCUGCCGCUCUCGAUGACAUGGGUAUUCGUGGAAUCAGACAUCUGGCAACGGUGACAUUCCCUGAGCUGUUUGGGCGGCACAUCUAGCCAAACGAUGACGGCCUCAAAAUGCAUUCUGGUAAAAUCAAACCGCAUCAUACUGUUAUGGAAGACUCAAGGUUGAUUCGUCGCGCAAGUUCACGGGACAGGAAAAGACGGAACAAGAACUGGUGCUCUCUUGUGCACAAACUCACCAGGCCGUCGAUCAGUCGUGCCAAAGUGAACCUCUACUUCCAGAGUGACAUCAAGGAACGUUUCAUGUGCAAGUAAUCUUCGAGCCACGGUGCGGCAAAGUUUAGCAGCGCCAUUUCAAACUUCUUCCAGCAAGUUUACCAAGCAGAGUACUCGAACGAACGCAGACUCGUUACAGUAAUCUGCAGUACCUAGUAUCUUAAAUCCUUAUGCGCUUCCGAUGUUGUCUUGGUUGUCAAUGCGCAGCGUAUCAAAAACACUGCCCCAACAGAAACGUUGCUCAAAUAUGCCAUUCGGUGCCCCCAUACUCGUCUAUCUUCUGUUCCAUCUUCAAAAAAAAAUUGAUGUCGUUGCUCUUAAGUGAUCGGUGUCUUGCUACACUUGCUUCAAGGCUGUGGUCUCUAUCCGGCGCCGUCAUCUGAUAUGCUGCACUUCUGCUUAUUUGCCGAUUUGGGGUUCACGUAUUACGAUGUCUAAAUAAAGUGCAACUUAUUGCCGUACGGAAGCAACGCUUGUCAAUUUGCCUUUGGCCAAAGUGUAUUAUGGACAGAAGCCCUACGACACGACCCCCAAAGCGGUGACUGAAGACCAAAACAGACGACUUGGUCGAGACUAAACACUCCCAACACUUGUGCA